CCAUAGGAGGGAUCCUCACAAGAGGAUCCCUUUAAAGGCGAAAGUCGCUUAGGGAUCGGAAUAUGUUCUAUUAGCUAGUUGGUGGGAUAAAAGCCCACCAAGGCGAUGAUAGAUAGCUGGUCUUAGAGGAUGAACAGCCACAAUGGGAUUGAGAUACGGCCCAUAUUCCUACGGGAAGCAGCAGUAGGGAAUCUUCCACAAUGGGCGAAAGCCUGAUGGAGCAACGCCAUGUGAACGACGAAGGCCUUUUUGGUCGUAAAGUUCUUUUAGGGGGGAAAAUUAUGAUGGUACCUCCUGAAUAAGUGACAGCAAACUAUGUGCCAGCAGCUGCGGUAAUACAUAGGUCGCAAGCGUUAUUCGGAUUUAUUGGGCGUAAAGCAAGCGCAGGCGGAUGGAUAAGUUCUUUGUUAAAAGCAGCUGCUCAACAGUUGUUUGCACCGAAUACUAUCCAUCUAGAAUGUGGUAGAAAGUUUUGGAAUUGAAUAUGGAGCGGUGGAAUGUGUAGAUAUAUUCAAGAACACCAGAGGCGAAGGCGAAAACUUAGGCCAUUAUUGACGCUUAGGCUUGAAAGUGUGGGUAGCAAAUGGGAUUAGAUACCCCAGUAGUCCACACCGUAAACGAUGGGUAUUAGAUGUCGGGGUUUAAGCUUCGGCGUUGUAGCUUACGUGUUAAAUACCCCG
Molecule: ribosomal RNA, 680 nt
Filed under: uncultured Mycoplasma sp.
Lineage: Bacteria; Bacillati; Mycoplasmatota; Mollicutes; Mycoplasmatales; Mycoplasmataceae
Description: bacterial SSU rRNA
Rfam family: Bacterial small subunit ribosomal RNA
Source: RNAcentral